CAGAGGGUGCAAGCGUUGCUCGGAUUUACUGGGCGUAAAGCGUACGCAGACGGUAAGAAAGGUCGGAUGUGAAAGCCCCGGGCUCAACCCGGGAACUGCAUCCGAAACCAGCUUGCUAGAGUAUGGGAGAGGGAAGCGGAAUUCCUGGUGUAGAGGUGAAAUUCGUAGAUAUCAGGAGGAACACCGGCGGCGAAGGCGGCUUCCUGGCCCAUUACUGACGUUCAGGUACGAAAGCGUGGGUAGCAAAACAGGAUUAGAUACCCUGGUAGUCCACGCUGUAAACGAUGUGUGCUGGAUGUCGGGGGUAUUCACCCCCUCGGUAUCGAAGCUAACGCGAUAAGCACACCGCCUGGGGAGUACGGCCGCAAGGUUG
This 373-nucleotide ribosomal RNA is filed under the name uncultured organism. Its description in RNAcentral is "bacterial SSU rRNA". It matches the Rfam family "Bacterial small subunit ribosomal RNA", at positions 526 to 896 of the family's 1533-position model. The record is from RNAcentral.